AGUGGCGGACGGCUGAGUAACACGUGAGGAACUUGCCCUCCGGUGGGGGACAACCACGGGAAACCGUGGCUAAUACCGCAUGAUGUCAUGUUUCAUAAGGGAUGUGACCAAAGAUUUCGGUUGCCGGAGGAGAGCCUCGCGGCCUAUCAGCUAGUUGGUGAGGUAAAGGCCCACCAAGGCGAUGACGGGUAGCCGGUCUGAGAGGAUGAUCGGCCAGAGGGGGACUGAGACACGGCCCCCACUCCUACGGGAGGCAGCAGCAGGGAAUCUUGCGCAAUGGGCGAAAGCCUGACGCAGCGACGCCGCGUGGGGGAUGAAGGCUUUCGGGUUGUAAACCCCUUUUGCUGGGGAAGAAGAUCUGACGGUACCCAGCGAAUAGGGCCCGGCCAACUACGUGCCAGCAGCCGCGGUAAAACGUAGGGGCCAAGCGUUGUCCGGAAUUAUUGGGCGUAAAGGGUGCGUAGGCGGCCCGGUCAGUCUCGUGUGAAAGCUCCCGGCCCAACCGGGAGAGGUCACGGGAUACUGCCGGGCUUGAGGAUAGCAGAGGAAGGUGGAAUUCCCGGUGUAGCGGUGAUAUACGUAGAUAUCGGGAGGAACACCUGUGGCGAAAGCGACCUUCUGGGCUAUUUCUGACGCUGAGGCACGAGAGCGUGGGGAGCGAACCGGAUUAGAUACCCGGGUAGUCCACGCCCUAAACGAUGAGUGCUAGAUAUGGGGGGUAUCGACCCCCUCCGUGUCGAAGCUAACGCAUUAAGCACUCCGCCUGGGGAGUACGGCCGCAAGGCUAAAACUCAAAGGAAUUGACGGGGGCCCGCACAAGCAGCGGAGCGUGUGGUUU
RNAcentral lists this ribosomal RNA (838 nucleotides) under uncultured bacterium. RNAcentral's name for it is "bacterial SSU rRNA". It matches the Rfam family "Bacterial small subunit ribosomal RNA", at positions 94 to 947 of the family's 1533-position model. The record is from RNAcentral.